RNAcentral lists this long non-coding RNA (213 nucleotides) under Elaeis guineensis (African oil palm). RNAcentral describes it as "long non-coding RNA (EGUI_LNC064562)". The record is from RNAcentral. Lineage: Eukaryota; Viridiplantae; Streptophyta; Magnoliopsida; Arecales; Arecaceae.
UCUCUUAUUUUUCUCUCUUCCAAAACCCAGAGGUAGAAACCCUAGAAGACUAGGUUUUGCGCACACCCCAAGUGAGAGGACCCUCCUCCUCUUUUUUAUGCCAAGAACUAUUCCCCAAAGCCUCUCAAUAUGGAGAACUCCUUCUCUAGUCUAUUACAUGCACAAAAGUGAGAAAUUGAUCCCUUUUUAUUGGCAUGUAAUUACUAGGGGCGA